This 252-nucleotide unclassified non-coding RNA is filed under the name uncultured Bacteroidales bacterium. RNAcentral describes it as "contains 16S-23S intergenic spacer region". It matches the Rfam family "Bacterial small subunit ribosomal RNA", at positions 524 to 776 of the family's 1533-position model. Lineage: Bacteria; Pseudomonadati; Bacteroidota; Bacteroidia; Bacteroidales. The record is from RNAcentral.
UACGGAGGAUGCGAGCGUUAUCCGGAUUUAUUGGGUUUAAAGGGCGCGCAGGCGGAAGAUCAAGUCAGCGGUAAAAUUGAGAGGCUCAACCUCUUCGAGCCGUUGAAACUGGUUUUCUAGAGUGAGCGAGAAGUAUGCGGAAUGCGUGGUGUAGCGGUGAAAUGCAUAGAUAUCACGCAGAACUCCGAUUGCGAAGGCAGCAUACCGGCGCUCAACUGACGCUCAGGCACGAAAGCGUGGGUAUCGAACAGG